This 1556-nucleotide long non-coding RNA is filed under the name Oryctolagus cuniculus (rabbit). RNAcentral's name for it is "lncRNA (ENSOCUG00000032049.1)". The stretch from base 409 to 504 matches the Rfam family "Maternally expressed 8 exon 1". Lineage: Eukaryota; Metazoa; Chordata; Mammalia; Lagomorpha; Leporidae. The record is from RNAcentral.
AUGCAAAUCCAGGAGGAAACAAACUCCCGGUUACAAUUUCCUGACCGUCACCACCUUCCCAUGGCAGCCACGUGCCGGGAAGACCCCUGCGUUUCUCAAGUCGCCCCCCCCGGCCAGGAAAUGCCUCUUAGAGAUGUCGUCCUUACAGCUACCUGCCAUUCAUUGAUUUGUUCAUUCAUUCCUUCCUCGCUCUGUCCGGGCCCUGCACCGUGUGGCCUGGGUGUAGGGAAGGAGGCAGCUCCGCCUGUGGAGAUGAGGACCCCACCCCGUCUAGUGCCUGCUGGAGGUGUCCAGGUGCCCUGCCGAGAUGGCCGCUUUCCCCUGGGAAAGGAGCAGCUGCCUGGCCCGGGAACAAAUCAAAGGUCUGAAAAAUGAGCUUUUCCUCCCUAAUGUGUCAGUUCAGACAGUUUGCGAAUUUGUAGAUUUCUGAGAAUGGAACUAACUGGCGCCUUUGUUCGUGCAGCCGAGGCUCACUGCCCACAAUGGGCAGUGGGUCAGCGGGCUCCCCAGGCCAGUGUGUGGCCCAGCCUGGCCCCUCAGGACAGUCACCUUGAAGGAGACCAGCAUCCCAGACCCACUUGGGGCCCUGCCAGGAGUCUGCGUGGAGAUAACAGAGAUCAGCCCAGCCCUCGCGACAGCACCUCGGCAUCCUGGAGUGCUUUCUCCGGAGGCAGCGGCCCUGGGGGGCGGGCGGCCCGGGAGGCAGGUAUGGCCCCGGCACUGCGGCUGUGCGGUUCCCUUCGCUGAAAACCACCUCGUAUUCUGUGCGCGCUGACAGGCAUCUGUCAGAGGGUCCUGUCGCCUGCUCUGUGGUGUUCGGUGAGUCUGCAGAUUUGCUGUGACACAGCAAGCACACGGCUGGGGGGCCUGGGCUGCCCCCACCGCCCCACACUGCUCUUUACCUCCCUGGCAGCCGCGUGCCGAGCCUAGGAUCCGGGCUGGGGGACGCGGCUGGCGUCUCGGGGGCUGGCUUUCGCCGAGGAGCUGUGAGCCUAAUUUCAGCCGCACGCAGGCGACUGUCUCCUGGCCGGCGCCUUGCCAGAGGCAGACGGGUCUAGCCUGGACAGGAGGGGGUGAUGGUGAGGUCUGGGCCAGGGUCGGUGCUGUGAGCCUGUGCCUGUGGGACAGUUAUUUCUAGAAAGAGGAACGGGGCUGAGAUGCUGAGCCAGCGUCACUCUGGGGAGCAGGGGGCCUCUGCACGCGUGUGCAUGUGUGUGCAGGUGUGUUUGAGGGGGCAGGGUCCCCAAGUGUUUGGGGCUGGGAAGGCGGCUACGCUGCAAGCAGCCAGCCGUCCCGCACAGACCCGCUUUGGAACACGGAGCUGUGGGUCCUUGGCAGAAUCCCCGAGUAUUUCUGUGCCUUGGUUUCCUGAUAUUAAAAAAAAAAAAAAAAAAGAAAGAAAAGAGAAAAGAAACCAUAGUCCCUGUCACACAGGGCUGUCGAGAUCUCAGUGAGAAAAUCGCACACAAAAGUCGUCAGCGCCGUAGCCAGAGCGGAGCGCCCGGCAGCCGUGGCUGCUGCCCCUUCGCCGCGCGGAGGGCUCCAGCCCCUUCCCA